RNAcentral lists this ribosomal RNA (433 nucleotides) under uncultured bacterium. RNAcentral's name for it is "bacterial SSU rRNA". It matches the Rfam family "Bacterial small subunit ribosomal RNA", at positions 958 to 1392 of the family's 1533-position model. The record is from RNAcentral.
AACGCGAAGAACCUUACCUAAACUUGACAUCCCGAUGACAAUCUGUGUAAUGCAGACUUUCUUCGGAACAUCGGUGACAGGUGGUGCAUGGUUGUCGUCAGCUCGUGUCGUGAGAUGUUGGGUUAAGUCCCGCAACGAGCGCAACCCCUAUUCUUAGUAGCCAUCAUUAAGUUGGGCACUCUAGGGAGACUGCCGUGGGUAACACGGAGGAAGGUGGGGAUGACGUCAAAUCAUCAUGCCCCUUAUGUUUAGGGCUACACACGUGCUACAAUGGCUGUAACAAAGUGAUGCGAGAUAGUGAUAUGGAGCAAAGCACAAAAAAGCAGUCCCAGUUCGGAUUGUAGUCUGCAACUCGACUACAUGAAGUUGGAAUCGCUAGUAAUCGCGAAUCAGAAUGUCGCGGUGAAUACGUUCCCGGGUCUUGUACACACCG